This 374-nucleotide unclassified non-coding RNA is filed under the name Hevea brasiliensis (rubber tree). The record is from RNAcentral. Lineage: Eukaryota; Viridiplantae; Streptophyta; Magnoliopsida; Malpighiales; Euphorbiaceae.
AAUCUUUUUUUUUUUUUUUUGGCAUAUAGUUACCUUUUGAAUUUUUCUGCUACCAUCUUUCUUGUCAACAUUGAAAUGUUAAUCUAUGUUUUUUUUUUCCCCCAAAUCGGUGAUAUAGAUUGCUUGAAUAACUUGUUGGGUUUGAUAUAAAAAUUAUUGUGGAGUUUGUUCAAGAGCAUGAGUUAUAUAUUUGGUCAAUUUGGAGUGGGUAUGUAAUUAGACUGUUUUGUUGCACUUUAAGAAGUGUUUUUUGUCUUUAAUUUCAAAAAUUUUUAUUUUAAUUGUGUAGAUAUAUGAUUGCUUAAAUAAUAUUUUUUGUUUACUGGAAAGAAAAAAAAAAAAAGAAGUGGUAUUUUGAUUAUUUUGUGUACUGG